UGGAUCCCCGCUGUCAGACAAGACGACCACCUGGAACCUCUGAGAACUAAAACCCCGGACGCUGCAGUUACCCUCCCACUUCUCUAACCUGCCGAUCGCAAUGAACUGUUUGAUUCCCUGAACCAGCCUCUCUCCCUGGACCCGACCCGAGCCAACUAUUCCUGCCAGCAGUGUUUUUCAAUAAAUUUAUCUUUUAUUUCA
Long non-coding RNA from Xiphophorus hellerii (green swordtail), 201 nucleotides. RefSeq lists it as uncharacterized. NCBI's taxonomy places the organism in Eukaryota, Metazoa, Chordata, Actinopteri, Cyprinodontiformes, Poeciliidae. The record is from RefSeq and is a predicted model, not a curated record. The transcript has 2 exons.